RNAcentral lists this ribosomal RNA (254 nucleotides) under uncultured bacterium. Its description in RNAcentral is "partial 16S ribosomal RNA". It matches the Rfam family "Bacterial small subunit ribosomal RNA", at positions 524 to 776 of the family's 1533-position model. The record is from RNAcentral.
UACGUAGGGGGCAAGCGUUGUCCGGAUUUAUUGGGCGUAAAGAGCUCGUAGGUGGUUCGGUAAGUCGGAUGUGAAAUCUCCAGGCUCAACUUGGAGCGGUCAUUCGAUACUGCCGUGACUAGAGGUCGGUAGGGGAGUGUGGAAUUCCUGGUGGAGCGGUGAAAUGCGCAGAUAUCAGGAGGAACACCCGUAGCGAAGGCGGCACUCUGGGCCGAUACUGACACUGAGGAGCGAAAGCGUGGGGAGCGAACAGG